GUGGGGAAUCUUAGACAAUGGGCGCAAGCCUGAUCUAGCCAUGCCGCGUGAGCGAUGAAGGCCUUAGGGUUGUAAAGCUCUUUCGUGGGGGAAGAUAAUGACUGUACCCCAAGAAGAAGCCCCGGCUAACUCCGUGCCAGCAGCCGCGGUAAUACGGAGGGGGCUAGCGUUGUUCGGAAUUACUGGGCGUAAAGCGCACGUAGGCGGACUGGAAAGUCAGGGGUGAAAUCCCGGGGCUCAACCCCGGAACUGCCUUUGAAACUCCCAGUCUUGAGUUCGAGAGAGGUGAGUGGAAUUCCGAGUGUAGAGGUGAAAUUCGUAGAUAUUCGGAGGAACACCAGUGGCGAAGGCGGCUCACUGGCUCGAUACUGACGCUGAGGCGCGAAAGCGUGGGGAGCAAACAGGAUUAGAAACCCCGGUAGUCC
Molecule: ribosomal RNA, 425 nt
Filed under: uncultured bacterium
Lineage: Bacteria
Description: partial 16S ribosomal RNA
Rfam family: Bacterial small subunit ribosomal RNA
Source: RNAcentral